Molecule: ribosomal RNA, 498 nt
Filed under: uncultured bacterium
Lineage: Bacteria
Description: bacterial SSU rRNA
Rfam family: Bacterial small subunit ribosomal RNA
Source: RNAcentral
GAUGAACGCUAGCGACAGGCCUAACACAUGCAAGUCGAGGGGCAGCACAUGAGUAGCAAUACGAUGGUGGCGACCGGCGCACGGGUGAGUAACACGUAUGCAACCUACCUGUAAGAGGGGAAUAACCCGGAGAAAUUCGGACUAACACCGCAUAAUACCGAUUAACUGCAUGGUUGAUCGGUUAAAUAUUUAUAGCUUACAGAUGGGCAUGCGUAACAUUAGAUAGUUGGUGAGGUAACGGCUCACCAAGUCAACGAUGUUUAGGGGUUCUGAGAGGAAGGUCCCCCACACUGGUACUGAGACACGGACCAGACUCCUACGGGAGGCAGCAGUGAGGAAUAUUGGUCAAUGGGCGAGAGCCUGAACCAGCCAAGUCGCGUGAAGGAAGAAGGUUCUAUGGAUUGUAAACUUCUUUUGUAAGGGAAUAAAAAGAGUUACGUGUAACUUAUUGUAUGUACUUUACGAAUAAGGAUCGGCUAACUCCGUGCCAGCAGCCGC